Molecule: ribosomal RNA, 370 nt
Filed under: uncultured organism
Description: bacterial SSU rRNA
Rfam family: Bacterial small subunit ribosomal RNA
Source: RNAcentral
CGUAGGGUGCGAGCGUUAAUCGGAAUUACUGGGCGUAAAGCGUGCGCAGGCGGUUUUGUAAGACAGAUGUGAAAUCCCCGGGCUCAACCCGGGACCUGCAUUUGUGACUGCAAGGCUAGAGUACGGUAGAGGGGGAUGGAAUUCCGCGUGUAGCAGUGAAAUGCGUAGAUAUGCGGAGGAACACCGAUGGCGAAGGCAAUCCCCUGGACCUGUACUGACGCUCAUGCACGAAAGCGUGGGGAGCAAACAGGAUUAGAUACCCUGGUAGUCCACGCCCUAAACGAUGUCAACUGGUUGUUGGGUCUUUACUGACUCAGUAACGAAGCUAACGCGUGAAGUUGACCGCCUGGGGAGUACGGCCGCAAGGUUG